GACGAACGCUGGCGGCGUGCUUAACACAUGCAAGUCGAACGGAAAGGCCCUGCUUUUGUGGGGUGCUCGAGUGGCGAACGGGUGAGUAACACGUGAGUAACCUGCCCUUGACUUUGGGAUAACUUCAGGAAACUGGGGCUAAUACCGGAUAGGAGCUCCUGCUGCAUGGUGGGGGUUGGAAAGUUUCGGCGGUUGGGGAUGGACUCGCGGCUUAUCAGCUUGUUGGUGGGGUAGUGGCUUACCAAGGCUUUGACGGGUAGCCGGCCUGAGAGGGUGACCGGCCAAAUUGGGACUUAGAUACGGCCCAGACUCCUACGGGAGGCAGCAGUGGGGAAUAUUGCACAAUGGGCGGAAGCCUGAUGCAGCAACGCCGCGUGCGGGAUGACGGCCUUCGGGUUGUAAACCGCUUUCGCCUGUGACGAAGCGUGAGUGACGGUAAUGGGUAAAGAAGCACCGGCUAACUACGUG
Molecule: ribosomal RNA, 468 nt
Filed under: uncultured bacterium
Lineage: Bacteria
Description: partial 16S ribosomal RNA
Rfam family: Bacterial small subunit ribosomal RNA
Source: RNAcentral